Molecule: ribosomal RNA, 211 nt
Filed under: uncultured bacterium
Lineage: Bacteria
Description: partial 16S ribosomal RNA
Rfam family: Bacterial small subunit ribosomal RNA
Source: RNAcentral
CACGUAGGGCGCAAGCGUUGUCCGGAAUUAUUGGGCGUAAAGAGCUCGUAGGCGGUCUGUUGCGUCCGCUGUGAAAACUCGGGGCUUAACCCCGAGCCUGCAGUGGAUACGGGCAGACUAGAGGUAGGUAGGGGAGAAUGGAAUUCCCGGUGUAGCGGUGAAAUGCGCAGAUAUCGGGAGGAACACCGGUGGCGAAGGCGGCUACACGUCG